Cercocebus atys (sooty mangabey) is the source of this 649-nucleotide RNA transcript. It is a transcript of the gene named 60S ribosomal protein L22 pseudogene, with no coding region annotated. NCBI's taxonomy places the organism in Eukaryota, Metazoa, Chordata, Mammalia, Primates, Cercopithecidae. The record is from RefSeq and is a predicted model, not a curated record. The transcript has a single exon.
AGGACAGGGACACCAGCAUUUUGAAGCUGCAAUGCUAAUAAGGUGCUUGCCAAGAAACCUGAUAAAGAGGUGCCAGAGAGGUGAGAAGAGAACAAAAAAAGGGUGGUGUUCCAAAAUCUAAGGAGGAAGUGGCAAGCUGCUGAAGGAGGGAGUGGUGAACUAUUGAAAAUAGUUGACUUUCUAACUCCGCUGCUGCCAUGGCUCCUGCGAAAAAGCUUGUGGCGAAGGGGGACAAAAAAAAGAAGCGGGUUCUGAAGUUCACUCUUGAUUGCAUCCACCCUGUAGAAGGUGGAAUCAUGGAUGCUGCCAAUUUUGAGCAGUUUUUGCAAGAAAGGAUCAAAGUGAAGGAAAAAGCUGGGAACCUUGGUGGAGGGGUGGUAACCAUCGAAAGGAGCAAGAGCAAGAUCACCGUGACAUCUGUGGUGUCUUUCUACAAAAGGUAUUUGAAAUAUCUCACCAAAAAAUAUUUGAAGAAGAAUAAUCUAUGUGACUGGUUGCGCGUAGUUGCUAACAGCAAAGAGAGUUAUGAAUUACGUUACUUCCAGAUUAACCAGGACGAAGAAGAGCAGGAAGAUGAGGAUUAAAUUUCAUUUAUCAGGAAUAUUUUGUAUGAGUUCUUGAAUAAAACUUGGGAACCAAAAAAAAAAAA